This is a non-coding RNA of Chelonoidis abingdonii (Abingdon island giant tortoise), 1080 nucleotides long. Lineage: Eukaryota; Metazoa; Chordata; Testudines; Testudinidae. The record is from RefSeq and is a predicted model, not a curated record.
GCGCUCUGAGGCGAUGCGGCAGGCCACGCCCAUUCCCUGGCGGGUGGGGAGAGGAUGGGUGUUGCAAGCCGCGCGUGCGCAGGCACCUUCACAGAAAUGGACAGAAUUUUCAAAAGUGCUGCGCAUCCCUGGCUUCCAUUGGCUUCAGUGUGAUUUUGGGGGAGAAGGUGGGGGAGGGCUCAGCACUGCUAAAAUGAGACCUCUUUUAUUCGGCUGUCCAAAUAUGUAUUCAGGAGCCUGACUUCAGACACCUAGGAGACAAAAGCCCACAGAUGGAUGACACCGAGACACAAAACAGACGGCUUGCCAACUCAGUCUGCCUCAGCUUCAGCGGGAUGGAUCUGGAGCUUCUACUGUGAUGUUGGAAUCUCACAGGAGGAACUCAGAUCAGACAUGAUACUCAGUCUUGUUUCACCACUGCACUGAUGCAAAGGAGAUGGAAGAAGUACAGAGGACAGCAGACAGCGUCUGCAUGCAAACACUAGGAGAACUGGUCAGAUGACAUGGACUCCAGUGCCAGCAAUAUGCAGGUGACACAUCUCUACCUAUCCUACACAGAGCCGGCCUUCAAUACGGGCCAACAGGGCAAAAGCCCAGGGCACCAUUGUAAGCGGGGCGUCUCCAGAGCAGGAGUGCCUAUCCCCCCGCUGCUGCUCCUGGCCCCUGCAUUGGAGCCGCCCCUGGCCAGCUGUUCCCUGGGGGAUUCCUGUCAGCUGGGCAGAGUGGGGGGAGAGGGCACUGGUGUCAGGGUGUCCCCCUCCCCCCGCCCAUGUACCCAAUCUCCGCAGAGUGGGGGAAGAGCGGGGUCAAGGCUCAGGAGUGAGAUGGAGCUGUUGGGGGCUGCUGCUGUCUGAACAAGUCUUCAGACUGGUGAGUGCCACUCUGCUUAAAGGGACAGCACUCUGUCUCUCUCACACACUCUCUGUCUCUGUCUGUCUCUCUCUCACACACACACACAUACACAGACACACACUGUCUCUUUUGCACUCAACCCUCAAAACAUACGUGUGGUGGUGGUGGUGGUGUUACUUCUUGGUACUUCCUGCAGUGCACAUAUAUUCUCUGUAAUUUUAUUCUUUC